Molecule: long non-coding RNA, 488 nt
Organism: Brassica oleracea var. oleracea
Lineage: Eukaryota; Viridiplantae; Streptophyta; Magnoliopsida; Brassicales; Brassicaceae
Exons: 3
Source: RefSeq, a predicted model, not a curated record
CAAAGGGCUCCUACCCACCACGACAUUAGGUUCUAGAGUUCUCUCUCCUUCCAUCUCAAACCUCCACCACGAUUCUAUCUCAAAACACCUCCAAUCUCUCCGUAACCACCACGAUUCUAUCUAAAACCACCACGGAUCUCCCCUCUUUCCAUCACUCCCGACGAUUAAAUUUCAAAGCACCAUUUUAACUCAAACCACCGAGAGAUCUCUGUGACUACGAAUCUCUCGUCUUCCAUUAAUCCCGACGAUUCCUCUCCAAGAAUCUCUGUUACCACCACGAUUUCAUCUCAUGAAUCUCUGUUAAAGAUCCAGACUGAUUCGAAUCCUAACAGAUCUCGAAAGUCUCCAUAUCAAGGAAACUCCAAUGGAAGCAAGGAAAGGCAUCAUCUGUGGACUCGCGGCAUGUGGAGUUAAACCACAACUCAAAAAACAACAUCCAGAAGAAGAACAAGGAAAGACCUCAGGAGGAAACGAUGCGGAAGAGAUAA